This 599-nucleotide ribosomal RNA is filed under the name uncultured bacterium. RNAcentral's name for it is "partial 16S ribosomal RNA". It matches the Rfam family "Bacterial small subunit ribosomal RNA", at positions 355 to 940 of the family's 1533-position model. The record is from RNAcentral.
UGGGGAAUUUUGGACAAUGGCGAAAGCCUGAUCCAGCAAUGCCGCGUGUGUGAAGAAGGCCUUCGGGUUGUAAAGCACUUUUUGUCCGGAAAGAAAUCCUUGGCUCUAAUACAGUCGGGGGAUGACGGUACCGGAAGAAUAAGCACCGGCUAACUACGUGCCAGCAGCCGCGGUAAUACGUAGGGUGCAAGCGUUAAUCGGAAUUACUGGGCGUAAAAGCGUGCGCAGGCGGUUUGCUAAAGACCGAUGUGAAAAUCCCCGGGCUCAAACCUGGGAACUGCAUUGGUGACUGGCAGGCUAGAGUAUGGCAGAGGGGGGUAGAAUUCCACGUGUAGCAGUGAAAAUGCGUAGAGAUGUGGAGGAAUACCGAUGGCGAAGGCAGCCCCCUGGGCCAAAUACUGACGCUCAUGCACGAAAAGCGUGGGGAGCAAAACAGGAUUAGAUACCCUGGUAGUCCACGCCCUAAAACGAUGUCAACUAGUUGUUGGGGAUUCAUUUCCUUAGUAAACGUAGCUAACGCGUGAAGUUGACCGCCUGGGGAGUACGGUCGCAAAGAUUAAAAACUCAAAUGAAUUGAACGGGGUCAAUAGCUGUUUCCU